ACGUUAUCAAUAAACUCUCAUCAUCCUUAUCACCACAACAUCAAAAUUUUAUCCUACCACCUGUUAUUUUCAUAUCUUCAAAUAUAUAUCAUUAAUCUUAUUAUCAUUCAUUCUUCAGUUUCAUUUCUCUAAAACAUCGACCCCAGGGGUGGUUGUGUGUUCCGUACCAGCAAGAUCUGAUCCCAAGCGAUCUGAUCCCAAGCUCAACAAGUCAUGUCACAUCAUAUAUCUACAGGAUCUGAUCAAAAAUUCAAUCACAGCAUAUAUGCAUCAUGCAAACAAUGAAGAAAGUGCUUCAAAAAGAUUGGACUAAUGGAGAGAUAUUUUUAGGUAAUAUUUUUUGUUUUAAGUUUCAUUUGUACGGUAUCUCCUUUUAGCCACUUUCUAUUAUGUUCCAUUUUUGUUUUAAUUGUUACAUAGGUGGAUUUAAUUAUGGUGCUGGGCUUAUGUCCAACUCACAAGUAUACAACUUUAACCAUACUACAGAAUUAAAGUAGCCAUGUUAGAAGAACAAUAAUUAUGUUUCCACAUAAAAAAUAUGAGAGAUGGACAUGAAGAAAAAUAACAGCAAUAUGCCUCACCGCUCGGGCUCUAGCAUACAUGAGAGAUGAUUUCCUGAAUUAUGAAGAAGUGAAGUGUCAGGAAUGACCCUGUGUAAAUGUUUUAGGUCCUUGUAAAAAACGGUGUUCCUCGACCUUGCCGGCAUAGUAUUAUCCUAAUCUACCCCUUUACCAGGUAUUCUCCUUUGUAUUCCGCCCGCUAUAGCAGGUGUAGAACAUAAAGCAAAUGAGGGCAAUACUAACAAUAAAGGGCAGGAGAGGAAGCCUGCUACAACAGUUGUAGAACCUAAUACAAGUUGGAGAAAUACUAGUCGCAGAAUGCAUAUAGGAAAAUGCAUAUAGGUUCUUCAACAUAAAGUUGUAGAACCUUUAUGUUGGGAAUUUUUUUGACGUGACUUUGUUUGGUAGAUAUCAAAUUUGUAAGUUAUGUUUGUAUGACUGUGUUCGUUGUAGUGGUGGCUUGAAGCUAUGAAGUCUUCCUCGCCUUCUGUAAGAAGACAGAUAAGGAUCCCUUCGCUGAGGUUUCUUCAGAUGAUAGCAAGAGUUCUUGUCACUCGUGCACUACAAGAAAUAGAUCAAUAGACAUCGGUCAAGAACCGAUGUUAAAACGUUUAUUGUACAUUGUCUUUCGACUUCUUUGUUUGUUUAUUUACUAUUCUGACUUUUUUUCCAGUUCCAGCUCAAAUUCAGUCAGCCCUUUUCUCCAAUAGUAGAUGACCCUGAUCGUGCUUUCAUGUCUGAUGCAUUCUGCUGCUAAGAAUGCUGGAAAACAUUUUCCAACUGCAAUCAUAAGUGGAAGAAGGCGUGAUAUGGUUGGAAUUCUUGAACUUCUCUAUGCUGGUAGUCAUGGUAUGGACAUUAGAUACCUGCUCCGGGACACCUAUACUGGUAGUCAUGGUAUGGACAUUAGAUAUCGCCUGCGGGACACAGCUGAAGUACCUCCUGACCAUAUCAAAUCUGAGAAACAUCCUGACCAGCAGGACUUCCAGGAGUCAGUGGUUUGUCUACCGAACAGAGAAGUUUACUAUUGUGGCUGAGCUUGUUGCUAAUCCGUCAUUAAUCAUCUUCAUGGGCGAACCAACUUCUGGCCUUGAUGCAAUAGCAGCAGCCGUUGCCAUGAGGACACUGUUAGAAACACAGUGGACACUGAAGAACUUUUGUUUGCACAAUUCAUCAGCCUAGCCUCGACAUAUUUAUGUCGCUUUUGAUGAGAGUCCACUCGUCCUCUGCGCCCGAUGCAUAGUAGUGAUACACCAACUUUGGCAAUUUUGCCUUUGCAAUUGCAUCAUAAUCGGUACUGAGACACGGAAAUAGGGGCUAUGGAAUUCUGGUAUCUUCUAUCGUCAAAGAGAGAGGAGCCUUCUUCUCGCACAAGGACCCUAACAACAUAAUAAAAUCAUUUUCUUUCUUUAAAAGUAUGCAAUAAAUUGAAUAUUUGAUAGUAUACGGUGAAUUUUGGACAUUUUUUAGACUUGUAUAUCCUGUGAUCUUAGGAAAAAGAAUAAAUUGAUUUCCUUGUAGCAAUUUAGAGAUAUAUAAGUUUUAGUGAGAUGGUAGAAAGCUGCCAUCACAGUAGCAGUAAAAGUAAAAGAAGCAUGAGCUGCACUGCAUUGGACGCGGUUGAACCCCAGCAAUAAAGUCUGACUAGAAAGGGUGCAUCUGAGAAUGAAGAAAAGAAUAAUGAAGCAGCAGUGUUAUAUUCUUAGAUUUUGAAGAAAGAUACUUGAGGCUUGGAGUAUGAAUUCAUUACGGAAUUUGUGGCUUAAUGAUAUUGGAUUCCACCUUUUCUCGAAGACUAGUCUUCCUCUUCUUGUGAGUUUGAACAACAUAAGGAUAUAGUGCGUGUGUUUUGCACCUCUUUGAGCUCUCUUCUUGUUGUUUACCCAAUUUUUUUUAAACUUGUUACACAUGCCUUUCAUGAUUGUAA
Daucus carota subsp. sativus is the source of this 2487-nucleotide RNA transcript. It is a transcript of the gene named probable trehalose-phosphate phosphatase 2, with no coding region annotated. Lineage: Eukaryota; Viridiplantae; Streptophyta; Magnoliopsida; Apiales; Apiaceae. The transcript has 8 exons. The record is from RefSeq and is a predicted model, not a curated record.